UCAACCCAAGGGUAUGCAAAUUCACCCUGUAGACAAAAGUGAAUAUCUGUUAUUAAUAUUUUCAGAUUCAAAUGAAAAAGAAGGCAUGAAAUUAGCCAUAUUCAGUUGUAUAUAUACACCUCUUUGCAGUUAAAGAUUUCAAUGACUGAUUCUUUUAGUGCCUGUACAUAGGAAGCUAUAUAAAUAAUUUCUGAUAGUCAAAAGGUAAAGUCAGUUCUUGUAGAAUAUUACCACUUGUUUACUCGGAAGCUUGGAACCAUUUAAUAGAACUAAUUUAACAUGAAAUGAGAAAAAUAUAGCAUGAUGGAUAUGAGUUCAGGAAGUCAGCAACAAUCAUAAGAAUCUAAGACUAAAUAAUAUUUAUAUAUAUGCAUAAAAUAAUAAGUUUUGAGUGCAAGCAACUACAUUAUAAUCAUCAUAAAAUGAGUUACAAACAUAAAGAUUAAAUUUGAAAUCUAAAUUAAGCUAAUAAAUUUAAAUCCACGCCUUAUCACUAAACUAGUGUAAUGAGCGACAUACCAAUGUCGUGUGGUUGAAUUGCUUAUUGGUAGUGUAUAAAGGGCAAUGAUUUGCUUCAAUUUAACAUAUCAAUAUUUUAUAUAAAUAUAAAUUAAUUUAAACACACAAGAUAUAUGAAUAUGAAAUAAAUACUCAAAUCUACUCUCUUUUUGUGUGUGUUUUUGCUAAAUUUAAAAAACAUUAAUUCACAAGACAACUUUUUUUUUUAGGUACAAUAGCACAGGAUAAUUUUAGAUGAUUCUUUAAAGCGCAUUCAUUUAUAUAAAAGACCAUAAAUAUAUUAAUAAAAAGGCUGUAGAACAACGCAUGAGCCAAAAACCGAUAGCCAGGUUAGACAAACCCAUUAAGAAAAGUAACAUUAAAUCAAAGCAAAGUAUACAGAGCCUAAGGAAAAAGAUAAGAUGAAGCAUUCACUACUUACUUCACCUCUGUUUACCAAAAUUUUAUUUUUAUAAAAAGAUAAAAAUCAUGGAUUCAUUCGGUUUAAAAUAUACAUUCCAUCAUUAGUAAACAUCAAAUGAAUCCCUUUCGAGCGAGUUUGGUCAGAUCUAUUUACCAAAUCCACAGUUUCCUUCAAUACAGCCUCCAAGACUUCAUUUUUAUCCCCCAUUUUCUCUUGCUCUUAACUCAAGACUCCCAAAAAGGUGAACUUUACCUUGCUGCAAAAAAUAAGGAAAAGAAAAGAAGACAUUACACAACUACCAAGAAAAGAAAAAAGAAAAAGAAACGUUGAAAGAAAAAAAAUGAUACCCAGUUUUCAAAAGGCUUGAUCUUGAAUUUAGAUUACUGUUGAGGAACCAAAAUGAGAACAGCCCAACAACUCCAAAACAACAACAAACCAGGAAAAAAGAAAAAGACCAAACAGAGAAGAAGAAGAAGACGAACCGCUUAAAGAAGUAGAGACGAGCGACGGCAGAAGGGACGGUCUACGACAAUGCAGCAGAUUUGGGAAAGGUUUGGGUCGUGGAGCGCAGCAGACUAGGGUUCUUGAUUUGGG
This 1516-nucleotide long non-coding RNA is filed under the name Gossypium barbadense (sea-island cotton). RNAcentral describes it as "long non-coding RNA (GBAR_LNC008116)". The record is from RNAcentral. Lineage: Eukaryota; Viridiplantae; Streptophyta; Magnoliopsida; Malvales; Malvaceae.